This 463-nucleotide ribosomal RNA is filed under the name uncultured Acidobacteriota bacterium. RNAcentral's name for it is "bacterial SSU rRNA". It matches the Rfam family "Bacterial small subunit ribosomal RNA", at positions 224 to 704 of the family's 1533-position model. The record is from RNAcentral. Lineage: Bacteria; Pseudomonadati; Acidobacteriota.
GAGGAGCUUGCGGCAGAUUAGCUAGUUGGUAAGGUAAUGGCUUACCAAGGCUACGAUCUGUAACCGGUCUAAGAGGACGGUCGGUCACACUGACACUGAAUAACGGGUCAGACUCCUACGGGAGGCAGCAGUCGGGAAUUUUGGGCAAUGGGCGAAAGCCUGACCCAGCAACGCCGCGUGAAGGAUGAAGUAUUUCGGUAUGUAAACUUCGAAAGAAUAGGAAGAAUUAAUGACGGUACUAUUUAUAAGGUCCGGCUAACUACGUGCCAGCAGCCGCGGUAAUACGUAGGGACCAAGCGUUGUUCGGAUUUACUGGGCGUAAAGGGCGCGUAGGCGGCGUGGUAAGUCACUUGUGAAAUCUCUGAGCUUAACUCAGAACGGUCAAGUGAUACUGCUGUGCUAGAGUGCAGAAGGGGCAAUCGGAAUUCUUGGUGUAGCGGUGAAAUGCGUAGAUAUCAAGAGG